GCUGGGCGUGGUGGCGGGCGCCUGUGAUCCCAGCUACUUGGGAGGCUGAGGCAGGAGAAUUGCUUGAACCCAGGAGGCGGAAGUUGCAGUGAGC
RNAcentral lists this microRNA precursor (94 nucleotides) under Rhinopithecus roxellana (golden snub-nosed monkey). Its description in RNAcentral is "miRNA (ENSRROG00000027433.1)". The record is from RNAcentral. Lineage: Eukaryota; Metazoa; Chordata; Mammalia; Primates; Cercopithecidae.